GCGGGCGGCGGGCGGAAGGCAUCACUUUGUCCGGACUCUAAUUCAAAUUGUAUUCAUCCGAUCUUCACCAAACUUGGUCAGCAGUUGCAUCUAGUUGAUAUCUAGGCCAAGUUCGAAUAUGGGUCAUGCCGGGUCAAAAACUAGGUCAUAGGGUCAAUAAGUGCAUUUUCAAAGGGGCCACUUUGUCCGGACUCUAUUUCAAAUUGUAUUCAUCCGAUCUUCACCAAACUUGGUCAGCAGUUGCAUCUAGUUGAUAUAUAGGCCAAGUUCGAAUAUGGGUCAUGCCGGGUCAAAAACUAGGUCAUAGGGUCAAUUAGUGCAUUUUCAACGGCGCCACUUUGUCCGGACUCUAAUUCAAAUAGUUUUCAUCCGAUCUUCACCAAACUUGCUCAGAAGUUGAGUCUAGACAAUAUCUAGGCCAAGUUGGAAUAUGGGUCAUGCC
Molecule: long non-coding RNA, 442 nt
Organism: Dreissena polymorpha
Lineage: Eukaryota; Metazoa; Mollusca; Bivalvia; Myida; Dreissenidae
Exons: 2
Source: RefSeq, a predicted model, not a curated record